CUUUUGUGCGAAGGGGCCAACAGAAGCAGAGGAAAAGGGGUGGCGUGGCGUGGCGCAGAGCAGAGGCAAGGAGAAAGAGGAGUAGAAGGGUGGAGGAAGCAGUUUGGGGUCCCGGUUCGUUGGCGGCGGCGGCGGGGCGGGGCGGGGAGGGGGGCGGCUUAGGCGGCGGGGGCGCGAGGGGGCCGGACGGGGGGCGCGGCUAGGCGGCCUUAGGCGGCGUUUCCGCCGCGGAAAGGUCGAGAGGGGGCUACAUGUCGUUGAAGUUCCUCGUCCGCUAGCUCAUGCACUUCGUCCGGCAGGUCCUCCUGUUACGGCCGUUGAUGCAGUUCCGCAAGGGCGAGAUGUACUUGCGCGAGCUCAUGAAGUUCUGGGUGGAGUUCAUGCUCUUCUUGGGGUUCUAGUUCCUCCGGUAGUGGCGGUUCAAGUGGCUCAUGGAGGCGGCGCGGCUCCUCUAGGCCCGGCAGGAGCUGCUCCCGCCGCCGCCGGGGGGGCCGCGCGGGUUGCCGCCGCUGCGGCGGCAGCGGUGGGCCGGGUUCUGGUUCCCCUUCCUGCCGCCUCCGCUGCCGCGGCCGCCCCUGCUGAGCCUCGUCAGGUUCGACUCCCGGCCGGAGUUGAGCCGGUAGUAGUGGCUCUUCGGGUUGUAGUUCACCUUGCUGCAGCGGCCCGAGCUCUCGCGGUUCGUCCGCGACGUCCUCCGGCAGUAUAACGGGCAGUUCAAGGGGGUCAAGAAGUGUCCGUUUUCCUCCGGUACCUCCCGAAAAGAAGACAUGCCAGGUGGUCCUUGUCCUUUCAGUAUAAACCGAUUUCGGCAACGUUGGCUCCGACUAAGCUGAAAGAAGUCAUAUAGAAGUAGGCUAGAACAAAGUUUUACCUACCCUCUCUCACUCUUUGACCAACGAUUAGAAAAGGUUUACCGAGCACUUUUACGGGGAAGUUAGUAGAAGUAACUACUUUAACUAAGAAAUACGCCAUGUGCACCCCUUCCGUUACUUUCACUUCGUAGAUCCUCUUAUUUUUGUCUUGAAGAACAUGUCUACGUCCCACAACCGGUAUUACUACUAUUUCAAGAACAAGAACGACGCUGUUUAUGCGGUAUACGAGACCUGGUCCGACACGCCGCUGCCAAACUGUUCGCAUAAAUGUAAGGAGAUGGACUGCGCUUUCGAUCCGUCGUAUACAAAUUCCAUGUAGAACCCCUAUGCGGCGUGUCGAAUAGCCUUUCACUAAAACUCCAGAACCCAGCAGCAUGUCUUCCCAAGAGACCAAGGCUACAACGACAGACACACUUUCUACACAACAAGCUCGGACACGCGUUUUGUGUCCUACGAUACAUGAAGAAGUUCUGUCUACCACUGUACACCUACGGGACACCUAGCUUCGUUGGUCCACGACACGUCUGGUGCUACGUCCUCGAACGUAGGUUUCCGGAACGGAGUGUCUAAGAAGGUGGGGGCUAGAGCUUCUUACUAAAGCUCUUCCAGGAACGCUCCGUCUCUGGUUGGCAACCGUUCUUCCUGGACCUUCACGUGCUCUUCAAGUGGUUCCUCAAGCCACUCCUCCCAACUCACCAUACGGCGGCACUCUUGCGAGAGCUGGGUACGUGUCGGCGUGGUGUCUUUACAUAUAACAAAUGUUGAAACUAAACAACGCGAACCCUGAAUCUAAGUGUCUAGACAUGUGAGACCAUCGGGCUGCUGCCGUCGGAACAAUACGGCCCGAUAGUAACACGGAGACAACAGUUGAGAUAAAGUAAAAAUGUGACAGUACGAACCUUAAAUUACGUUCACAUAAUUCCUUAUUACUACUAAUAACUCGACCCAUCAGGAACACCACGUCGAACAUAUCAAGAUUUUAAAAGACCAUAGAUAAAAUCUAAGUAAAAGAAAAGAAAAGAAAAACAUCACAAAUAAUCUAGGAUAUAAAAACAAAAACAAGAUUGAUUUAAAAGAAGAAAAAAGGAAGUAAACCACGUUACUCUGGACGUCGUACAUUCAAGCUGAACUGUUCACUUUAGACGGAACACGCCUAAUCCUAAUCUAUUUUUAUUGUGUAUUUACACUAUCCUUAUGUUCACGUUUUGUUUACCGACCUUUUGUAACCUCUAAAGUUCGCUAAAACUCCAGAACCCAACAGCCUACCCCCAAAAGACCAAGGUUGUAACUACAGAGACAUUCAUGCAAACGUUUUGGUACUUUAAACAGACAUGUUACAGUUUACACAAAUGGGAGUAGUUCUAUACAUACUAUUACA
RNAcentral lists this ribosomal RNA (2250 nucleotides) under Triticum aestivum (bread wheat). RNAcentral describes it as "partial small subunit ribosomal RNA". The record is from RNAcentral. Lineage: Eukaryota; Viridiplantae; Streptophyta; Magnoliopsida; Poales; Poaceae.